RNAcentral lists this ribosomal RNA (406 nucleotides) under uncultured bacterium. RNAcentral's name for it is "partial 16S ribosomal RNA". It matches the Rfam family "Bacterial small subunit ribosomal RNA", at positions 29 to 526 of the family's 1533-position model. The record is from RNAcentral.
AUUGAACGCUGGCGGCAGGCCUAACACAUGCAAGUCGGGCGAGCGGCGGACGGGUGAGUAAUGUAUGGGGCUCUGCCUGAUGGAGGGGGAUAACUACUGGAAACUGUAGCUAAUACCGCAUACCAUCAGAUGCACCCAUAUGGGAUUAGCUAGUAGGUGAGGGAACGGCUUACCUAGGCGACGAUCCCUAGCUGGUCUGAGAGGAUGAUCAGACACAAUGGGACGGAGAUACGGCCCAGACUCCUACGGGAGGCAGAAGUGGGGGAUAGUGCACAAUGGGCGAAAGCCUAAUGCGGGGAGGCCGCGUGGGGGAUGAAGGCUUUCGGGUUGUAAAGCUCUUUCGCAAUCGAACGGGUAGGUGGAGAAGAAGCGCCGGCUAACUACGUGCCAGCAGCCGCGGUAAUUC